AGCGAACGCUGGCGGCAGGCUUAACACAUGCAAGUCGAACGCCCCGCAAGGGGAGUGGCAGACGGGUGAGUAACACGUGGGAACGUACCCUUUGGUUCGGAAUAACUUGGGGAAACUCAAGCUAAUACCGGAUAAGCCCUUAUGGGGAAAGGUUUACUGCCGAAGGAUCGGCCCGCGUCUGAUUAGCUAGUUGGUGAGGUAAUGGCUCACCAAGGCGACGAUCAGUAGCUGGUCUGAGAGGAUGAUCAGCCACACUGGGACUGAGACACGGCCCAGACUCCUACGGGAGGCAGCAGUGGGGAAUAUUGGACAAUGGGGGCAACCCUGAUCCAGCCAUGCCGCGUGAGUGAUGAAGGCCUUAGGGUUGUAAAGUUCUUUUGGCAGGGAAAAUUAUGAUUGUACCUGCAGAAUAAGCACCGGCAAACUAUGUGCCAGCCGCCGCGGUAA
RNAcentral lists this ribosomal RNA (447 nucleotides) under uncultured bacterium. Its description in RNAcentral is "partial 16S ribosomal RNA". It matches the Rfam family "Bacterial small subunit ribosomal RNA", at positions 29 to 523 of the family's 1533-position model. The record is from RNAcentral.